UGGCAUUCCUAAUAUGCAACAGAAUGACGCUCUUCAAAGAGCCAGAGCACAGGCCAUUAUUUCCUAGAUUGUAUCAUGAACAAACUUCACCCUAGUUGAAGGGAUUAGCAGUAGCAAGUAGAGGAACUUCAGCCUAGGGGUUUAUUGUGAAGCUCAGACUCAAUAUUUUAGUUUGCAAGAUGGGCUCCUUGCCAUGUGACAUUAAGACUGGCAGGGAGAACAACAGAUACAGCAGAGGUAAAGAUGAGGCCUGAUCUGAUCUUUGUAUUGCCAAGAGCCCAGCACAGGCCCAUUUGAGGAAAAAUCAACAGAUACUGAUGGAACCACAUGAUUCUCUCAUGGAGAUGCUCACAGUAUGGACCUUUCCUAUGAAAGCAUCAACUGGAAGGUGUGGAUGGAAACCAUAUGACUCACAUUGCUACCACGGCAGCCUAAGUCCAUCUUUGUAACAGACAUGGCAACACAUCUACUAUCAGAGACUGGGCACAGAGUAAAGGACUCUUGGUUUCAAAUUUAUAGGAUACCACUGCCAGACUUAUGAUUCCUGCUAAAGUUGACCUGAGUGUCCUGCAGUAAGGGAGGCUUCAUUGCACAGUGACUUAUCCUUGCCUGCUUCUUUCUGGAAGAUUGACCUUUNUGAUUCCUGCUAAAGUUGACCUGAGUGUCCUGCAGUAAGGGAGGCUUCAUUGCAGUGACUUAUCCUUGUCUGCUUCUGGAAGAUUGACCUUCGAUCAUGUCUCAGAACUAUCAGUAUAGUGUGUCACUGCUGUUGACAGCUUUUCUGAUUAAUGUUGCUAUUCUAGUCUGAUUAGUCAACCUGAUAGAGAAUCCUUAUAAGAAUGAUUCUUUCUAGGUAUUAUUUUGGAUACAUUUUAUCAGUAAUAAAUUCCCUUCUGGUCCAGGUACACUAAGGGUAAAAGAAGUAAAAGAACUCCUUGAUAUUGAUCCAUGUUACCAGUUUGCUAUUUAUCAGACUACAAAAGAAAUAUAUGAACAAGGACUAUGUUAUAACCAAGAAACAUGUCAAAUAUUUUACUCUACUUACAUUAAAAAAAACUCCAUCAACUUUUCAUAUGUAAUUUUAUUUUUGCCUUUACUUCUAUUCCAUAUAAGCAGGAGGCCAUAUUUCAGAUGCCUUACCCUCCAUUUGAAGAAAAAAAAAAGCUCUGUUGGAUUGGAGUGCUCAUGUGUCUUCAUUUCAGUGUCAACUCAUGAAAGUUCUCCUUUAUACUCAGGAGGUGUCAUACAUGUGUCCUAGGAGCAGGUCCAGCUUCUAGAGCGUUAUUGGCUCACGACCUGGGAAAUUCUCCAAAGUUAAGUAUGAAAUUGGCCGCCAUACACAGAGGGCAAGAAGAGAAUGAAGAAAGAGGCAGACCAUUCUGGAUAAGAGAAAGAAGAGAAGGGAUGGGAAGGAAAGGGAAAGGAAAGGAAAAGAGAAAAGAAGAAAAAAGAAAAUAAAAGAAAAACGAGAAGAGAGAGAAGAGAAAGA
RNAcentral lists this long non-coding RNA (1489 nucleotides) under Vulpes vulpes (red fox). Its description in RNAcentral is "lncRNA (ENSVVUG00000011031.1)". Lineage: Eukaryota; Metazoa; Chordata; Mammalia; Carnivora; Canidae. The record is from RNAcentral.